CCUACGGGGGGCAGCAGUGAGGAAUAUUGGUCAAUGGACGAGAGUCUGAACCAGCCAAGUAGCGUGAAGGAUGACUGCCCUAUGGGUUGUAAACUUCUUUUAUAUGGGAAUAAAAUGUUCCACGUGUGGGAUUUUGUAUGUACCAUAUGAAUAAGGAUCGGCUAACUCCGUGCCAGCAGCCGCGGUAAUACGGAGGAUCCGAGCGUUAUCCGGAUUUAUUGGGUUUAAAGGGAGCGUAGGUGGAUUGUUAAGUCAGUUGUGAAAGUUUGCGGCUCAACCGUAAAAUUGCAGUUGAAACUGGCAGUCGUGAGUACAGUAGAGGUGGGCGGAAUUCGUGGUGUAGCGGUGAAAUGCGUAGAUAUCACGAAGAACUCCGAUUGCGAAGGCAGCUCACUGGACUGCAACUGACACUGAGGCUCGAAAGUGUGGGUAUCAAACAGGAUUAGAUACCCCAGUAGUC
RNAcentral lists this ribosomal RNA (460 nucleotides) under uncultured bacterium. RNAcentral describes it as "partial 16S ribosomal RNA". It matches the Rfam family "Bacterial small subunit ribosomal RNA", at positions 338 to 795 of the family's 1533-position model. The record is from RNAcentral.